RNAcentral lists this ribosomal RNA (370 nucleotides) under uncultured soil bacterium. RNAcentral describes it as "bacterial SSU rRNA". It matches the Rfam family "Bacterial small subunit ribosomal RNA", at positions 26 to 422 of the family's 1533-position model. The record is from RNAcentral.
AGAACGAACGCUGGCGGCAUGCCUAAUACAUGCAAGUCGAACGAGAUCUUCGGAUCUAGUGGCGCACGGGUGCGUAACGCGUGGGAAUCUACCCUUGGGUUCGGAAUAACAGUUGGAAACGACUGCUAAUACCGGAUGAUGACGAAAGUCCAAAGAUUUAUCGCCCAGGGAUGAGCCCGCGUAGGAUUAGCUAGUUGGUGAGGUAAAGGCUCACCAAGGCUACGAUCCUUAGCUGGUCUGAGAGGAUGAUCAGCCACACUGGGACUGAGACACGGCCCAGACUCCUACGGGAGGCAGCAGUAGGGAAUAUUGGACAAGUGGGGGCAACCCUGAUCCAGCAAUGCCGCGUGAGUGAUGAAGGCCGUUAGGG